GAUGAAGAACGUAGCGAAAUGCGAUAAGUAAUGUGAAUUGCAGAAUUCAGUGAAUCAUCGAAUCUUUGAACGCACAUUGCGCCCGCCAGUAUUCUGGCGGGCAUGCCUGUUCGAGCGUCAUUUCAACCAUCAAGCCCCCGGGCUUGUGUUGGGGACCUGCGGCUGCCGCAGGCCCUGAAAAGCAGUGGCGGGCUCGCUGUCACACCGAGCGUAGUAGCAUACAUCUCGCUCUGGGCGUGCUGCGGGUUCCGGCCGUUAAACCACCUUUUAACCCACGGUUGACCUCGGAUCAGGUAGGAAGACCCGCUGAACUUAAGCAUAUCAAUAAGCGGAGGA
Molecule: unclassified non-coding RNA, 336 nt
Filed under: soil metagenome
Description: partial contains 5.8S ribosomal RNA, internal transcribed spacer 2, and large subunit ribosomal RNA
Rfam family: 5.8S ribosomal RNA (bases 1-120)
Source: RNAcentral